ACUCCCUUCGCGAAAACUCCGCAAAAUUAAAACCUAGUCCAAAACUUCAAAACUCAUUUUCGCUGAAACUCACCUUCACCCCCUCCGUCCGCUGACUGACUCCCACCUCUCCACCGCUGGUCGGCCGACCGCCAUCCCUCACUCCAUCAUCUCCUAUCGAGCAGACACCCAACGUCAUCUUCCCGAUGCCAACACAAGUCGUUGCCUUCUUCUCUAUCUUCCUCCUUUCCUACAUCCGGCCAACCAACUCCUCUCUAUCACCGCCAGCGGAGCUACUUACUCUCAUCUCUCCUAUUUGGGUUAGAAGAGGAGAGGCGAUAGGUUCCUUCCGGUAGCCACCUCUCUUCCAUUCAUCAUCCGACAAUUUCUCCUCGAGUUAGAGGAGGAGGAACCAAAGCCUUCCCCUUUCUCUCUUCGGGUUAGAAGAGAGGAAACUCCACUUCUACUUCCAGUAAUCCCCUCUUCCACCGCCUCUCCUCUUCCUCAUCAGGCUCCAGAUUCACUUCCCCCUCAUCACCACCUCUACUCUUCCGGGUUAGGAAGAGGAGAGCUUCAUACCUACUACCGGCAACCCCCAUUCCCUCUCCACUUUGGGUUAGAAGUGGAGAGUCCAUUUCCUCCACUCCAGUAGCUCUUCAUUGUCUCCAGUAGCCCUCCAUCUUCCCUCUUUGGGUUAGAAGAGGGGAAGAGGUCACUUCCAGAUAGCCGCUACAUCCGAAGAUCCAUCCGCAACCGAAACAUCAUUCGCGUCUACGAUAUUAGAUUAUUUAUACUUGUGUUGGAUUGAGUUAUGCUUGUCAGUUGUUGUUUAUCUUUGUUAUGUGUUGAUGGUUUGAUUGAUUGUAUUAAAUUAUCCUUCUAUGUUAUGAUUGCAUGUACUUUGCUUAAUUUAAUUCAAGCUCACCAAAUGUUUGAUGAAAUAUCCCAACCAUUUGUCCUACUUUAGUUUGGCAUUUUAUUUAGCAUAGAUUCUUGCAAUGCUUUAUUAAUUUAAUGCUUCAUGUUUCUCUUAUGUUCAUGUCGUCAUUUGAAUGCAAUUAGGUUAGAUUAGAUAUUUCUUUAACGCUUUGCUUACUUUAUGUUACUUUUGUUUUUAAUUUUUAGUUUCUAUUUUUUUAAUGAAAUGAUAACUGAAUUAUUUAUAGAAAACAUUGACUUUCAUGGCAUAUAAAACAGUACAUGUUUUCAAUUGUAGACUUGUGUCGUUAUUGUUAGUAAACAUUGUGAAGGUUGUAAGGAUAAGAUCAAGAAGAAUGUGCAGAAGGUUCAAGGUAAGUUGUGGGGUUUAGAUAUACUUUAUUUGUUGUUUGACUGGGUUCAUGUGGUACAUGUGAGUGUCUUAAUAUUGGAAGUCAAAACUACCACAUGCUAUAAUAUUUAAACCCCAACAACCUUAUAAAUGUUUCAUUAGAGAAUCAUUUAAAGAUUUCCCUCAAUCAGCUUUGCUGUUGGUUCAAACUCUUCUUGCAAUAGAUCCAGCUGAAUGUCAAACUGCUAUGACUGCUUUAAAUAGUGAGGUAACAUCUCUUAUUUGUAAUUAGCUUUUCUCUUAUCACAUAAUCUUUGAGCUAUGUAUUCUUUCUGGCUUCGUAAGUACAUGAAUUUUUUUUAUUCUUGUUUACUUUGUGCAGAUUGCACAAUCUUUAGUUGCAAUCAAAUAAUGCCUAUUUAUGUCAUGAAGUUUUAAACUUGAUCUUUUGUCUUAGAUUUUUUCAUCAUUGAAAUAAUGCAUCAUGAACAGUUUUAACAUUAGCUGAUUUGUGUAAAUGUUACAAUGUUGAUUAGUUUGACAUUAGAAGUGUGGUAAAUGAAGCCUUUACUUGAUGAGUUUUUUUAUAUGAAUGUAAAGUAGAAAUGGAACUUCAACAUAAAAGUGAUAAUACUUCAAGCUCUCAACAUAGAAGAACUAAUACUUCAAGCUUUGAAGUUAGUCUCAUGAUAUAGAAAGUCAGGUUGUAUUCUAGACGAAACAUCAAUUUGAUGAAUUUAGGUACUUAACAGCUAAGCAUCUGAUAUGUCCUUUGUUUAGUGUUUCUUAGUUUAGGAAUAGAAAUCAGUGUUGGUAACUGAUAGAGAUGGAAGUUGGUUUUAUUAUUAUUAUUAUUAUUAUUAUUAUUUAGGAAAAAGAGCAAUCCUUGUUGAUUAGGGUUAGCAUUUGCAACUUGUUUAUGUUUUUGACAUAUGUGUUAUCUAGUUUGUAGCAACAAUACAAUUCUGUAAAUUGAUGAAAGGCCAGUGUAGUUGUGCUUUAUAGAGCUUUUUUUUUUGCAUCUAAUGAUAGAACAUCCUGAUUAGCAUCAAAUAGUUGGUAAUGCAAAGCUUCAUUCUAUCUUGAUUAAUUUCUUUGAAACUUUGAAAUGAAAGAACUUACAUUUACUAGGAUUUCAGUUGUGAAGGAUCAAAUUGCCAAAUCUAAUCAGUGAAUGAGACCCAACAUUCAGUUUGUUGGGGCCAAUGCAUCCCAUGGUAUCUGUGCAGAAUACUACAUUUAUGUUUCUCUGCACAACUAAAAAUUCUAUUGUACAUUGAUUGUCUAUGUCACUGACUGACCUCUUCUACUUGCUUUUAGUUUUAUAAUACAUAACCGUAUACUUGUGAUCCUUCGAGCCUUCCAAAAUAUCCUCCAAGCAAGGAGAUGGAUGCCAAAAUGAGAGAUGAAGAAGCUAGAAGUGAAUAUGGCUAGGAAUGAAUAUAUAACACACAUCCAUCAAGGAAUUGAAUCUGACAAUGAUCCAAAUAAUACUACUAUGUUUAUGGGUGGAUUAGAUUCAAAUGUCAUACAUGACAUUCUGUGGCAAACAUUUAGCCUUUAUGGGGAAUUGGUAUAUGUUAAGAUACCUAUAAGCAAGCUAAGUCGGAUUUUUUUACUUUUGUAUA
Long non-coding RNA from Zingiber officinale, 2877 nucleotides. RefSeq lists it as uncharacterized. The record is from RefSeq and is a predicted model, not a curated record. The transcript has 3 exons. NCBI's taxonomy places the organism in Eukaryota, Viridiplantae, Streptophyta, Magnoliopsida, Zingiberales, Zingiberaceae.